This 73-nucleotide ribosomal RNA is filed under the name Bacillus inaquosorum. Its description in RNAcentral is "partial 16S ribosomal RNA". It matches the Rfam family "Bacterial small subunit ribosomal RNA", at positions 1 to 73 of the family's 1533-position model. Lineage: Bacteria; Bacillati; Bacillota; Bacilli; Caryophanales; Bacillaceae. The record is from RNAcentral.
UUAUCGGAGAGUUUGAUCCUGGCUCUGGACGAUCGCUGGCGGCGUGCCUAAUACAUGCGAGUCGAGCGGACAG